Molecule: long non-coding RNA, 611 nt
Organism: Rosa chinensis
Lineage: Eukaryota; Viridiplantae; Streptophyta; Magnoliopsida; Rosales; Rosaceae
Exons: 5
Source: RefSeq, a predicted model, not a curated record
CCCACUGACCCAUUUUCUUUGGGGCUCAUCUCGAAGGUGGACUGAACGGAACCAUGUGACCUUGCUUCUAGUCAUGGCCGGAGGACGUGCAGUCUGCCGUUGACUCGUCGGAGGAAGGCGUAGAAGAUGGUGGCUGCGGUGAGUCCACCUUGGUGGUCGGAGAUCGAUGACGGAGGAAAGAGUCUUCCAGAUCCAGUUUCUCUCUCCUCCAUCUCUCUCUAUGGAAAGGAGACCUUGGUUGGAUUGCAUUCUAACAAAUUGGAAUCACCCGAGCUGAAGACCCAUAUUGAGGCUUUGACAGAAAUACGGGGCUAACUCAAGGACCUGGAAACAAAAUCUUUUUGAGGAGAGAGCUGCACUGAAAGCUAAACAGAAGCGUUUCCAAGAAGAGAGGCAUAACUUUAGGCUUUAUACACUGAAAAAUAAUGAAGUGCUUGCUAAGGAGAUCACAGAGCAUGAUGAAGAGGCUUUCAUGAGCUUUGAUGUGUUUGUUGACAGGCGGCAGACGUCCUAAGUCAGAAGCACCGGGGUUAUGACAUUUUGUAAGGAAGUACAGCUUUUUGAAACAAUGAUUUCGAUGAAUUGGUUAAUUGUAAAUUUUGCUCAGUCUG